This 1232-nucleotide long non-coding RNA is filed under the name Sinocyclocheilus anshuiensis. RNAcentral's name for it is "lncRNA (ENSSANG00000039880.1)". Lineage: Eukaryota; Metazoa; Chordata; Actinopteri; Cypriniformes; Cyprinidae. The record is from RNAcentral.
CAAAAGGUUCUUCAAGCGAUGCCAUAGAAGAACCAUUUUUGGUUCCACAAAGAACCAUUCAGUCAAAGGUUCUUUAAAGAACCAUCUCUUUCUUACCUUUUUAUAAUCUGAAGAACCUUCUUUCACCCCAAAGAACCUUUUGUGAAACAGAAAGGUUCUUCAGAUGUUAAAGGUUCUUUAUGGAACCAUUUAGACAAAAAGGUUCUUCUAUGGCAUCGUGAAGCACCUUUAUUGAGAAGACGAUGGCAAUCCUAGAGCUCUUCAGAUUCAUCAACUCCUCUCUGCUCAUCAGUAAGCGGCCUCUGAACAUCUCAUCGGCCGAGAAGACUGUGUACCACAGCUGCGCAGACAUGCCCGCCGUCCUCAUCUUUUACUUGGUGCUGCAGUUCAUCAACAUGUUCCUGGGCAUCCCGACCAACAUCAUGGUUUUGUGGCUCAUUCGUAAGAAUAAGGGCGACUCGUCUACCUCAGACAUCUUCAUCGUCCACCUGGCCGUGCUGGACAUGUUCUUCUGCCUCAUUCCUCCGCUGGAGCUGGCCAACAUCGUCUAUCUGACCACCAGCAGCACCUGGUACGUCCUGCGCUUCUUCUACGGCAUCAAAGACUCGUCGCCGCUCUUCCUGUGCUGCAUCUGUCUGGACAGAUAUAUGGCCGUCCUGCAUCCCAUCACCUUCACCAAGCUCAAAGACAAGAGGCAUCGCUCUGUCUGCGCUGGCGUCAUCUGGUUCAUCACUUUGGUCUAUGCCGCAGUGAAGUGUGUGGGAAACAUCCCUAACUUUGAGAAAGUGUUCACAGUCAUGAUCCUGGCAGCGUUCGCAUUCAUGCUGUUUUGUAACAUCUCCGUUCUCUGGGCUCUGAGACAGUCGGCUCCAGGUCGAGAUGAGAGACAUCCGGUCAAGAAGAAAGCCUUCAAAAUGGUCCUCAUCAUCUUGGCCAUCAUUGUGUUUAACUACUUCCCGAUUUCUCUCCAGAUGUCUUCCGCUGUUAUAUUCACUACAUCGCCUUUGGCUUCAUGGACAUCAGCAGCAGCAUCCAGCCGGUUCUGUAUCUGUCGCGGGAGAAGCUGCCCAAAACCCUGCGCUGCUGCUCUAAAAACACUGAAUGUACUGAUGAUGCUGUUUACACCGUUAGUCAGUGAGCAGCUGUUAUUGGUUUCAUUUGAUGGAACAGAACUACUGCAUGCACAUAAUAAUGUAGGUUUGUACCUUGUGUUUAUUCUAAACAUUGUUUAU